CCUACGGGGGGCUGCAGUGGGGAAUAUUGCGCAAUGGGCGAAAGUCUGACGCAGCGACGCCGCGUGAGGGAUGAAGGUCUUCGGAUCGUAAACCUCUGUCAGCAGGGAAGAACGGUCACUGUGCUAACCAGCAGUGCAUUGACGGUACCUGCACAGGAAGCACCGGCUAACUCCGUGCCAGCAGCCGCGGUAAUACGGAGGGUGCAAGCGUUAAUCGGAAUUACUGGGCGUAAAGCGCUCGUAGGCGGUAUGUCAAGUCAAGUGUGAAAUCCCCGCGCUCAACGUGGGAGCUGCCUUUGAAACUGGGAAACUGGAGUGUGUGAGAGGAUAGUGGAAUUCCAGGUGUAGGAGUGAAAUCCGUAGAUAUCUGGAGGAACAUCAGUGGCGAAGGCGACUAUCUGGCACAUAACUGACGCUGAGGAGCGAAAGCGUGGGUAGCAAACAGGAUUAGAUACCCUUGUAGUC
RNAcentral lists this ribosomal RNA (465 nucleotides) under uncultured bacterium. RNAcentral describes it as "partial 16S ribosomal RNA". It matches the Rfam family "Bacterial small subunit ribosomal RNA", at positions 338 to 795 of the family's 1533-position model. The record is from RNAcentral.